This 1515-nucleotide ribosomal RNA is filed under the name Pedobacter sp. HDW13. RNAcentral's name for it is "bacterial SSU rRNA". It matches the Rfam family "Bacterial small subunit ribosomal RNA". Lineage: Bacteria; Pseudomonadati; Bacteroidota; Sphingobacteriia; Sphingobacteriales; Sphingobacteriaceae. The record is from RNAcentral.
UGGAGAGUUUGAUCCUGGCUCAGGAUGAACGCUAGCGGCAGGCCUAAUACAUGCAAGUCGAACGCGAUUAAAGGGCUUGCUCUUUAUGAAAGUGGCGCACGGGUGCGUAACGCGUAUGCAACCUACCUUUAUCAGGGGAUAGCCCGGAGAAAUCCGGAUUAACACCGCAUAAAAUCACAGGAUAGCAUUAUUCAAUGAUCAAAUAUUUAUAGGAUAAAGAUGGGCAUGCGUGUCAUUAGCUAGUUGGCGGGGUAACGGCCCACCAAGGCGACGAUGACUAGGGAUCUGAGAGGAUGGCCCCCACACUGGUACUGAGACACGGACCAGACUCCUACGGGAGGCAGCAGUAAGGAAUAUUGGUCAAUGGAGGCAACUCUGAACCAGCCAUGCCGCGUGCAGGAAGACUGCCCUAUGGGUUGUAAACUGCUUUUAUCCGGGAAUAAACCUACUUACGUGUAAGUAGCUGAAUGUACCGGAAGAAUAAGGAUCGGCUAACUCCGUGCCAGCAGCCGCGGUAAUACGGAGGAUCCAAGCGUUAUCCGGAUUUAUUGGGUUUAAAGGGUGCGUAGGCGGCCUGUUAAGUCAGGGGUGAAAGACGGUAGCUCAACUAUCGCAGUGCCCUUGAUACUGAUGGGCUUGAAUGGACUAGAGGUAGGCGGAAUGAGACAAGUAGCGGUGAAAUGCAUAGAUAUGUCUCAGAACACCGAUUGCGAAGGCAGCUUACUAUGGUCUUAUUGACGCUGAGGCACGAAAGCGUGGGGAUCAAACAGGAUUAGAUACCCUGGUAGUCCACGCCCUAAACGAUGAACACUCGCUGUUGGCGAUACACAGUCAGCGGCUAAGCGAAAGCGUUAAGUGUUCCACCUGGGGAGUACGCCCGCAAGGGUGAAACUCAAAGGAAUUGACGGGGGCCCGCACAAGCGGAGGAGCAUGUGGUUUAAUUCGAUGAUACGCGAGGAACCUUACCCGGGCUUGAAAGUUAGUGAAUGAUUUAGAGAUAGAUCAGUGAGCAAUCACACGAAACUAGGUGCUGCAUGGCUGUCGUCAGCUCGUGCCGUGAGGUGUUGGGUUAAGUCCCGCAACGAGCGCAACCCCUAUGUUUAGUUGCCAGCAUGUAAUGAUGGGGACUCUAAACAGACUGCCUGUGCAAACAGAGAGGAAGGAGGGGACGACGUCAAGUCAUCAUGGCCCUUACGUCCGGGGCUACACACGUGCUACAAUGGAUGGUACAGAGGGCAGCUACAUAGCAAUAUGAUGCGAAUCUCACAAAGCCAUUCACAGUUCGGAUUGGGGUCUGCAACUCGACCCCAUGAAGUUGGAUUCGCUAGUAAUCGCGUAUCAGCAAUGACGCGGUGAAUACGUUCCCGGGCCUUGUACACACCGCCCGUCAAGCCAUGGAAGCUGGGGGUACCUAAAGUAUGUAACCGCAAGGAGCGUCCUAGGGUAAAACCGGUAACUGGGGCUAAGUCGUAACAAGGUAGCCGUACCGGAAGGUGCGGCUGGAAUACCUCCUUU